This is a long non-coding RNA of Oncorhynchus masou masou (cherry salmon), 1143 nucleotides long. RefSeq lists it as uncharacterized. The record is from RefSeq and is a predicted model, not a curated record. The transcript has 3 exons. Lineage: Eukaryota; Metazoa; Chordata; Actinopteri; Salmoniformes; Salmonidae.
CUACACACCAAAUAUCCAAAACCAUAAGCUAUUUCUCAGCCUUUGACUCAGUUGUCAAUUGCAUAAAACACUUUUUUCAAAACACUACACAUAAUUCUCUACCUAAAACACAAAAAUCUAACAGGAAGUGACUUGCUUUCCUUUUCCAAACACAACCAAUCAAAAUGCUACACUUAUUCACCAGGUCACAAACACACUCCUUACAUGUGCAAACACUAAUAGCUUAACUGAUCACUAACCAACCACUGCUUUACUGUAGUAUAGGCCUAUAAAUAGGUCAAAGGUCAGAUUACCUGUUUUGAACAAUGGAUGCCAACAAUGGACAGAGAGCAAGAGGAGUAGGAGGGAGAGGAAGAGGAAGAAGAGGACGAGGGCAAAGAAGAGAAGGAACGAGAGACAUCUCUGAUGAGAUUAGGGCAACACUUGUUGAUCAUGUGAUCAACCACGAUUUGACCAUGAGAGAGGCUGGACUGAGAGUCCAGCCCAAAUUGAGUCGAUUUACAGUGGCGUCCAUAAUUCGAACCUUCAGAAAUGAGAACAGAGUGGAAAAGCAAAGACAUCAUGGAGGACGAGGACGCUUGUUUACAGAUGUACAAGAGACUGCAAUUAUAAAUAUGGUUUUGGCCAACAAUGCAAUUAGGAUUCGAGAGAUAAGAGAGCAUAUCUUGAAUAAUGACACCAUAUUUAACAACAUCAAUGCUGUAAGCCUGUCGACCACACAACGCAUCCUCCAACGGCACCGAGUAACGAUGAAACAACUUUACAAGGUGCCAUUUGAGAGAAACUCUGACAGAGUCAAGAAUAUGCGACAUGACUUUGUAGAGAGAGUAUUGGAGCCGGAUGCCCAUGUAAUUCACCAUUAAUUUAUUUAUGUGGAUGAGGUUGGCUUCAACCUCACCAACCAGGCACCGCGGAAGAAAUGUAAUAGGACAGAGGGCAAUUACCAAUGUCCCUGGACAGCGUGGGGGUAAUAUAACUAUGUGUGCUGCCAUCACUCAAAACGGGGUCCUCCAUCACAAUGCCACACUGGGUCCGUACAACACCGGCCAUAUGCUCACUUUUCUGGAUGCAAUUUACACAAUGCUUGUCCCUGAUCCAGAUCAGGAGCCUGCUAGAUUUGUGGUUUUAUGGGACAAUGUUAGU